Homo sapiens (human) is the source of this 2582-nucleotide long non-coding RNA. Ensembl annotates it as disrupted in renal carcinoma 3. Its record names the gene DIRC3. The record is from Ensembl. Lineage: Eukaryota; Metazoa; Chordata; Mammalia; Primates; Hominidae.
AGAGCCCAGCGUGCGCGGCCUUGCGUGCGUGCACACGCAUAUGUGUCCAGGUGCCUACGCAGGUGCCUGACCCUGGGCAAGUCGCUCCGUCAUGCGGACCUCAGUUUUCUCAUCUGUCCGACGAAGCAUGAUUUUCUGGUCAGACUGCAUCAGCUCCCUCUUCUCCACCAGGACAGUAGGGAUCUACAGCCCAAGAACCAAAGACUUUGGACAUUUUGUUCUACUUGGGAAGUUUGUAAUGUUAUCUUCUGCUGUGGAGCAUAGUGCAAAGAAAUAGGGGGAAGAAAGGUGGGUUUCUUCUGUCUCCACCCCAAAGACCAAGGAUACUUUCUUCCCUGAGGGUUGCCUCUGCAUUGCAAGUUUUUUCUGACCCUUCACUACACAGAUGGACAACUCAGGUGGCCAGAGGACUUCAACUGAAUGGAAUUACACAAUGAUUUGUUGAACAUGUAUUGUGCACCAGGGAGUAUGUGAGGCUAUGUGGUAGGCAUGAGAUGAACAAUGGAAGAUUCUUGCCCCAUGGAAGGUGACCACUGGAAUUAGAAAUCCUAGCAUCACCUAAGGAAAGGCUCAGAUCUUCCCUGGUGGAGGUUGGGGAUCUUCCCGAAGGGACCUUUUGGACCCAGAGCUCUUGUAUCAUUGCCUCUUGGCAAGAGGUUUAGAGACUCCCUUCAUCAUGAAGUUUCACAGACUCCUUCAGCCUUUAUCUUUCCUGAGUUCUAUGGGGAAAAGCUAGGUUAGAUAUGUGGAGUGACUCACCGAGACCUGAGAAGGCAUCUGCAUGAGGCUGCGGGGGUGUCCUUAGAGAAAAGGGAAGCUGCAGUGUGGAGGCUGGGGGAUGCACAAGAUGAUCUCCAGAGUCUCUCAGCCUUCAGAAGCGCAGGCUCUCUGAGGCCACAUUCCUUCCUGGUCUGGCUCAGUGGAGGCUGUGUUUCCCCACUGUUGCUUUUUGCAUGGAUUUGUUCAGCAGUUGAAUGGGCAGAGAAGGAGGAGUCUCUCCCUUCCUGUUCUCACACAGCUCUGCUUCAUGGACACCCACACAGAUUCACUGGAGAGCAAAGCCUACCAGAGUCCCUGUCAGCAGCACUGUUUCUAGAAGCUUCCACAUGAGCAGACAGCAUGGAGUCCUGGGGGCUAAUGAAGCAGCAAUGUCAGCAUGAGCACAGGCAGGGAGAGGCAAGAGGAGCAGAGUAAAGGGGAACGUUCUCUUCAUUCUUCCACCUGCCUGUCCCCCAGCCGACACGUCCCUUCCGUUCCCUGCAAGGCCAUUUCCAGGGAGGCUUACGAAGACAGCAGAUGAUGGUGAUGGAAGGAGUCUGGGUGCUGAGCUGUGCCAUGGACCUGGAGAGAAACUGAGUCCGAGGGAUGUCAACAUGCCAAGUCCAUGGAAAUAUCAGUGGGCUGGAAUUCUAGCUGCCUGAAAGAAGACAUUCCUCACACAAGACCUCACAAUCAUAUCCAUGGAAUUAUAGCACUGGGCUCUCCAGAUGGUGCUACAGGAAGACCUCCAGAAAUUUGACAAUCCUCUAUUCAAGGCCCUACCACAGAGACACACAGGAACGGAACUCAGAAUCACAAACAAAGAAACUUUGAUCCAAGAAAGAAAAUGAUCUUUAAAAAGACCCUCGUUUCAUGCUGGCCGAUGCUGAGAAAAUCUGCUCUGAAGGAUAUUUGGAGACACUGAUUAAAAGAUGGUUGUCCCAGUGGAGGGGGAUUCUUCGUGUUACGUAGAUAGGAAGCACGAUGCAAAAGUGUUGAAGCAGGAGUGUAAAGAAUAAUUAAAACACCUGCCCAAGACCCAAGCAAGGAUAGGAUUUCCCAGACAUUCGUGAGGGAGAAAAUGCCAUGUCCUUUCCUUCUGGUGUCACAUCAGAAUCUGAAGGCUGCUAGAGAAGGGAGAGAAACAUGAAAGUGAGUCCCAUGCUGAUUGUUGUUGAAAUACCUGGAAAGAAACUGGCAAAGACUAUCCAAGGGAUGCUAAGACAUGUCCGAACUUACAAAACAGUAGAACCUGAAUAGGAAUUUGAAGUUGUCUAUACUCUCCUCAGCCACACCCUGCCAUUUUACAGAUUGUCUUCUCUGGGGAAGUUAGCUGUCAUGUUGUGAGGAUACUCAAGCAGUUUAUAAAGAGGUUCAUGUCGCAAGGAAUGGAGGCCUCCUGCCAACAGCCAUGUAAAGGAGCCAUCUAGGAAAUAGAUUCUCCAGCCCCAGUCAGACCUUCAGAUGAUUACAGCCCCUACCAACCUUCUGACUGCGGUGGAAGGAAGGUUCCGGAACCAGAACCACCCAGGUUAAUGUGGGUAAGUCUCAUCCAAUCCUUUGAAGGCCUGAAGAACAAAGAGUGAGGUUUCUGGAAGAAGAAAAUUUUACCUCAAGCCUGCAAUGUAGAAAUUCUGCUUGAGUUUCCCGCCUGCUGGCCUGCCCUGUGGAAUUCGGAGUCAAGAAGGAGUCUUGUAAGCAUUAACUGAGAUAGUAUAUGAAGAGUGCUUUUGCACCGAGUGAACCUUCAAUCAACUGUACUAGUUUGUAUGCCUGGAAGAGCUGCUAUAUGGGAUCAGAAAGAAAAAUAAGGUGCAUACGCC